Long non-coding RNA from Gasterosteus aculeatus aculeatus (three-spined stickleback), 1451 nucleotides. NCBI's taxonomy places the organism in Eukaryota, Metazoa, Chordata, Actinopteri, Perciformes, Gasterosteidae. The record is from Ensembl.
GGAAAAUGAAGCAGCCAUGGUAAUCGUCAGUGGAAACGAGGACAUUAAAAUCGUCAUUGACGGAACAGAGGUCCUCAGAGAGGUGCCCACAAUAGCAACGGCUGUUGCUAUGUUCUUCGGGCUCACCUAUGUUCUCAACAUAAAAUAUCCCAAAAAUCUGCACUAUACCCUUGAGUUUGUGCAAAAGGUCCUGAUGAAGCUUGGUGGAAAAAAGAUGUCCCCAGAAAUUCAUAGGCUGAGUACCCAGCUUGGCAGCCAAGAGUAGGCACAGCAGAGUUCCAAUGUUAGGCCUGAUUUAAUGGCAUUUCUACAACCAAGACUUUGUACCGUUUUAUCUGGGGUUGGCGUUUGAAACACUUGCACAACUACAUUUCUGCUACAGUAUGGACAAAAGAAUCUGCCUAAGGUUUCACAGGCACAAGUGGGUAUUGUGCUGGAGAGCACUGAUUUGUUUAUUGCAGCAUUUUCUGACCAAGAGGAUCAGGAGCUACCUCACUCGUUUGCAAGUUAUGGAACUGAUGACGUUCACACACAUCACUUUUGAUUUUAAGGAAUAAUUCCUCUCUGACUGUAUUACAUUGCAUUUUCAAAUGGUCACUGUUCAGUGAGAAAAAUGUUCCCAAAUGCUGUUGGUUUACUUGAAAAUGCAUGUCUUCAUUACUGUUUGUGUUUGAGAUGUGAUGGUUGAGAAGCACUGGUUUAUGUUAAUACAAUGAGAUGUUGCUGUUGUAUUUGAGGGGAAAAGACAUCAUUGAGAAGGACUGUUUUUAAGGUGGGACUAUGUUGAAAAAAAUGUUAAUUCAACAAUAAAUGUGUUGAAAAGGAAUGGCUUCUGAGUUUAAAUCAAAAUGUAUUAAAAUAUCUUUUUUUAAUUCAGGUCUAUAAAUAUUAAAGUAUCACUUUAAAUUUUUAUUUGAGACAACUUAAAAAAAUAGUUUUCUCCGAUAUUCAAAAGUUGUUUAAAUGAAUUUAAAAUAUUCAGGUUUAACAAAGUAGAUUAUUUACAUUAAGCAAUAAAACCAAUGUAUUUAUUUUAAUUUAGGAAAAUCUGAAAUAAUUGCUUUGGUUCAACCUUCAGAAAUGGGUUUACACGAAGUUAAAUAUUUCAGGUCAAAUCAAAUGAAUUAUUUAUAUUGUAUAACACUAGAAUAUUAGUUGUGAUCGAUUACCUCAAUUUUUCUAAUUUGAGCCAAUGUUAGAUUUUUUUCAGUGCACACACUCCUCAGAAACAUCUGGAGAUGGAGUCUGAAGGCUCCAUGUUAAAGCUGUCACUUUGUCACCUCCUCCUCUCCUUCUCUGUCUCCUCAGCAGGGUCAUUUGUAGUGAAUGUGACACAGAGCUGGUAUCAUGCAGAGGAGAACCACAACAUCUCACUGGAAUGGAUGUUCCCCACCAGCACGGACCCCUCCCCCAACGCCCUUUAUGUCUCCUGUGAGAUGUUAGCUGAUGAG